CAUAAGACCACAGGAGGACAUCCUUCAGGGGUCAAAGGAGCAAUCCGGUAAGGGGUGGGCUCGCGUCCGAUUAGAUAGUUGGUGAGGUAACGGCCCACCAAGUCGACGAUCGGUAGCCGACCUGAGAGGGUGAUCGGCCACAUUGGGACUGAGACACGGCCCAAACUCCUACGGGAGGCAGCAGUGGGGAAUAUUGGGCAAUGGGGGGAACCCUGACCCAGCAACGCCGCGUGAGGGAAGAAGGUUUUCGGAUCGUAAACCUCUGUCCUUGGUGAAGAGGAAGAGACGGUAGCCAAGGAGGAAGCCCCGGCUAACUACGUGCCAGCAGCCGCGGUAAUACGUAGGGGGCGAGCGUUGUCCGGAAUGAUUGGGCGUAAAGGGCGCGUAGGCGGCCUCUUAAGUCUGGAGUGAAAGUCCUGUUUUUAAGAUGGGAAUUGCUUUGGAUACUGGAAGGCUUGAGUGCAGGAGAGGUAAGUGGAAUUCCCAGUGUAGCGGUGAAAUGCGUAGAGAUUGGGAGGAACACCAGUGGCGAAGGCGACUUACUGGACUGUAACUGACGCUGAGGCGCGAAAGUGUGGGG
This 580-nucleotide ribosomal RNA is filed under the name uncultured rumen bacterium. RNAcentral describes it as "bacterial SSU rRNA". It matches the Rfam family "Bacterial small subunit ribosomal RNA", at positions 172 to 766 of the family's 1533-position model. The record is from RNAcentral.